AGCGAACGCUGGCGGCAGGCCUAACACAUGCAAGUCGAACGAACUCUUCGGAGUUAGUGGCGGACGGGUGAGUAACACGUGGGAACGUGCCUUUAGGUUCGGAAUAACUCAGGGAAACUUGUGCUAAUACCGAAUGUGCCCUUCGGGGGAAAGAUUUAUCGCCUUUAGAGCGGCCCGCGUCUGAUUAGCUAGUUGGUGAGGUAAAGGCUCACCAAGGCGACGAUCAGUAGCUGGUCUGAGAGGAUGAUCAGCCACAUUGGGACCGAGACACGGCCCAAACUCCUACGGGAAGCAGCAGUGGGGAAUCUUGCGCAAUGGGCGAAAGCCUGACGCAGCCAUGCCGCGUGAAUGAUGAAGGUCUUAGGAUUGUAAAAUUCUUUCACCGGGGACGAUAAUGACGGUACCCGGAGAAGAAGCCCCGGCUAACUUCGUG
Molecule: ribosomal RNA, 433 nt
Filed under: uncultured bacterium
Lineage: Bacteria
Description: partial 16S ribosomal RNA
Rfam family: Bacterial small subunit ribosomal RNA
Source: RNAcentral